Small nucleolar RNA from Prunus dulcis (almond), 103 nucleotides. RefSeq annotates it as small nucleolar RNA snoR137. The record is from RefSeq and is a predicted model, not a curated record. The transcript has a single exon. NCBI's taxonomy places the organism in Eukaryota, Viridiplantae, Streptophyta, Magnoliopsida, Rosales, Rosaceae.
AAUGUUGCCUUCAAGUUUCCGAAGCAUAGAUCGAAUUGCCAGUAUUAAACAGCACCAUGCAUACUUUUUGGUUGCACUGUGUUACCUGUCUCCUGGUACAUGU